This 244-nucleotide small RNA is filed under the name Pan troglodytes (chimpanzee). RNAcentral's name for it is "processed transcript". The record is from RNAcentral. Lineage: Eukaryota; Metazoa; Chordata; Mammalia; Primates; Hominidae.
GUUUCUUCCUCUCCGUUCGGUCGGGAGUAGCAUCCUCCACUCAGCCACCCUUCCCACUCCCCCAGCGUGGGGCAGCUGCGGCUGAGGGCUGUGGCUUUGGCAGCUGCGACGGGGAGCGGCGGAGACCGCCUCUGCUCCCGCCUGGGGUUGCUGCUUUUGCUCAGAGGACAUCCAUGACCCUAAUGGUCUUUUUGUUCAAGAUAAAGUGAUUUAUUGCCUUUGUUGAUUAACCGGACAAAUUCAG